UGGCAGACUUUAUGGGAAGUAAAAGUUAAAUAUCUAGUACAACAGAGUAAGAAGCAAAUAUUGAGAAAUUCGUCUUCUAUUGAACUGAGUUACAGAAAUUAAGAAUGGGAACGGCUUGGUUCUUCCUAUCUCUCUUCAUUGGCAGACAGUUGAUAGACAUAUGCCUAAUAAACUGAAGCUGCAUAAUAUACGAGGACAAAGCAUUAAAAGCUACAGAGCAGCAGUAUUCAACUCAAUAAACAAGCAAGAGACACAUCACUACAUUGCCACACCUGAUCACCAUCUUUGAUGCCUACAACUCUAAUGUAUGCCUUGUCAUCAAUAAGCUUUUCUCCUUCAUAACAUAAGCAGAAAUGUCCCCAGACAAGUGACCUACGAGCACAUGCAUUCAUGCAAAACUCAAAUAAAAUUACAAACCUACCAAAAGAAACAAAAACAAAAUCAAGGUGGUAAAAUUAGUCACAAGUCUCAUAAGAUGGUCAAUACUACCAUGUAAUCUUGCAGUGUUCGCUCGCCCGGGGUGAAUCAAAAACUUCCUCUAUCGCUUGUUUGAGAUCUGCUACUGUACCAUUGCGCGCUACACGAACACCUGGAUAGCCAAACCAUACGAAAUCCAUUCAAAUUAUAGUUAAUAAUACUGUAAUUCUAGCAAUACAAAGAACGAGUAGCUUCAAA
Long non-coding RNA from Cucurbita maxima (winter squash), 675 nucleotides. RefSeq lists it as uncharacterized. Lineage: Eukaryota; Viridiplantae; Streptophyta; Magnoliopsida; Cucurbitales; Cucurbitaceae. The transcript has 2 exons. The record is from RefSeq and is a predicted model, not a curated record.